GGUUAAGUCCCGCAACGAGCGCAACCCACGUCUUUAGUUGCCAGCAUUUAGUUGGGCACUCUAGAGAGACCGCCGGUGAUAAACCGGAGGAAGGUGUGGAUGACGUCAAGUCAUCAUGCCCCUUACAUCCUGGGCUACACACGUACUACAAUGCUACGGACAAAGGGCAGCAAGUUCGCGAGGACAAGCAAAUCCCAUAAACCGUGGCUCAGUUCAGAUCGUAGGCUGCAACUCGCCUACGUGAAGGAGGAAUCGCUAGUAAUCGCAGGUCAGCAUACUGCGGUGAAUACGUUCCCGGGCCUU
Molecule: ribosomal RNA, 303 nt
Filed under: unidentified marine eubacterium
Lineage: Bacteria
Description: bacterial SSU rRNA
Rfam family: Bacterial small subunit ribosomal RNA
Source: RNAcentral